GGACGACAGUUUGUGAGUUUUUCACUGUCUCAUGAGGACAUUCAGAUGCACAAAGUCCUGGGCAGGUGAAUUUCAAGGCGAUGAGACGUCCACCAUGGACCGGACCAGAUUUAGCUCCCAGGUCAAAUUUGGGACCAGAUGUCAGAAGACCUGUUGAGGACCACAGUUUAAGGCCAAACAGAUUUGUUUUACAGCGUUCUGAGGACACGUCUACUGGACCAGGUCCCAAACCAGGUUUGGGACUUUGUGACUGGAAGACCUCGACGUCGUCACCGUGACUACAAACACUCGCAAGCACGACUCGCUUUGUUUGUUUGUGCCGCUGUCGUCCCGCAGCUGAGGGGGGAGCGGUGCCACAGCGGAUCACCGCCCAUAGGUUUGAUGUGGACUGGAGUUGUUUGGUGGCUUCAAUGACGCAACGUGCGAGGUGCAGCAGCCAAACACUCCCCCGCCCCCUCAAUUUCUUUUCCACCACAAACUCAGUGUUGAGUCACGACAGACGACAGGACGCUGAGGAGAGCAACGUCCUCCACUUUGGAACGUCCUGGAUUUGAGAAACGGUGAAGUUCCUCCAUUUUGA
Solea solea (common sole) is the source of this 580-nucleotide long non-coding RNA. RefSeq lists it as uncharacterized. The record is from RefSeq and is a predicted model, not a curated record. Lineage: Eukaryota; Metazoa; Chordata; Actinopteri; Pleuronectiformes; Soleidae. The transcript has 4 exons.